RNAcentral lists this ribosomal RNA (500 nucleotides) under uncultured archaeon GA67. RNAcentral's name for it is "bacterial SSU rRNA". It matches the Rfam family "Archaeal small subunit ribosomal RNA", at positions 385 to 879 of the family's 1478-position model. The record is from RNAcentral.
UGUCCAGGUAUACAAUCUUGGCUGUUCGCGAUGCCUAAAAAGCAUUGCAUAGCAAGGGCCGGGUCAAGUACCGGUGCCAGUCCGCCGCGGUAACACCGGCGGCUCGAGUGGUAACCGCUAUUAUUGGGUCUAAAGGGUCUGUAGCCGGCCGGAUAAGUCUCUUGGGAAAUCCAGCUGCUCAACAGUUGGGCUUUCAGGAGAUACUGGUUCGGCUCGAGGCCGGGAGAGGUGAGAGGUACUUCAGGGGUAGGGGUGAAAUCUUGUAAUCCUUGAAGGACCACCAGUGGCGAAGGCGUCUCACCAGAACGGACCUGACGGCAAGGGACGAAAGCUAGGGGCACGAACCGGAUUAGAUACCCGGGUAGUCCUAGCCGUAAACGAUACUCGCUAGGUGUCGGCCACGGUGCGACCGUGGUCGGUGCCGUAGGGAAGCCGUGAAGCGAGCCACCUGGGAAGUACGGCCGCAAGGCUGAAACUUAAAGGAAUUGGCGGGGGAGCAC